UACGAAGGUGGCGAGCGUUGUUCGGAAUCACUGGGCAUAAAGAGCACGUAGGCGGCUAAGUCAGUCGGAUGUGAAAUACCUCGGCUCAACCGAGGAACUGCGUCCGAUACUGCUUGGCUUGAGGUCCGGAGGGGAGAGUGGAAUUCCCGGUGGAGCGGUGAAAUGCGUAGAUAUUGGGAGGAACACCAGUGGCGAAGGCGGCUCACUGGACUGGUACUGACGCUGAGGCGCGAAAGCGUGGGGAGCAAACAGG
Molecule: ribosomal RNA, 253 nt
Filed under: uncultured bacterium
Lineage: Bacteria
Description: partial 16S ribosomal RNA
Rfam family: Bacterial small subunit ribosomal RNA
Source: RNAcentral